Molecule: long non-coding RNA, 343 nt
Filed under: Ictidomys tridecemlineatus (thirteen-lined ground squirrel)
Lineage: Eukaryota; Metazoa; Chordata; Mammalia; Rodentia; Sciuridae
Description: lncRNA (ENSSTOG00000030929.1)
Source: RNAcentral
CUCAGCAAUUCUUCAUUAGAUCUGUCUUUAAAUAUGUAUAGAUCUCAGCUCUUCAGACUCUUUUUUUUUCUGAUUCACGUAGUUUUCUUUAUUAAAAAAAAAAAUCUUUCAUCUGGUAGUUGCCAGGAGUUGCGAUCAUGUUACCAAGGAGCAGAAAAUGGGAAGCUCUCUUAAUGGGCUUUCAACAUCCUGCCCUUAGCCUGGAUGAGGCAGCAGUGAAUGCCAGCCAGCUCUCUGCAGGAAGAGGUGCAGGGCGGGUGGAUGCAAGAAUCAGGAUGCAGGACACAGCACUAUCAGUGUGGGAAGUGGUUUGUCAGAACUUAUCCACAGUCUUAAAAGGCUG